AUCGACACCAGCUGCAUCUCCAUUUGCCGCACGUCCUUCACCCCUCAGCUCCACGAUCGUCUGCUCCACUAUCCAUCUUCACGCUGCCUCUCACGCCAGCUCACGGUCAACACCAGCAACAAGCGGAGCCUUCGGUUGACUGAGCAUCAUUUCCUUGCUGCCACUUGGCCGCAUCUACCUCUUCUUCGGUCAACAAGCGGACACUGAAGACCACGAGGAAGCCUGCAUCUCGUCCGCAACACCAGUCCACGCGUCUUCAGUCACGAAGCUUCAGUCCGUGCGUCCACGAGGGUCUUCGGUCAGCAAUUUCAACCGAAAGAAUUCCAGAACCCCAGCGAAGGCUUCGUUGACCAGCCGUAUCCACCGAAGCUCCAGUGGCCACGGAUUACAGCAUCCUCGUCCAUCCAUGGCGUGUCUUCAAUUCACGCUCGAGCAGCCUUUGCUGCUUCUGUCCGGCCCACCAGCUCACGCAAAUCAGUGAGCCCAGCAGUAGUUCCAGCGAACUGGAAGUCCAUCUCAUUUGAAGCCACUUAAAUUGCAGCUCAGCCACUUCAGUUCAACGUGCAGCCCAUUUGUCUUCAAGCCCAGUUGAAAUUAAUCAGCUGCAGCCCAAAUGAUCAGCAUUUUGGUCCAUCAAGCAGCCUGCAGUUUGACAUCUUGAAGCCCAGCAAAUUUUGACCCAAGCUUCAGCCCAAGUUGUUUGAAAGGCAGGCCCAAUUCAGCUUUGUUUCAAGCCCAAGUUCAGGUUCAGUCCAAGGAUUCCAGCUAGGCCCAAGCCCAAGAGCAAGCCCAUUCCAGUGCAAGAACAAAUCUCAGUUGGGCUGAGAUUUGUUGGGGCCAAGUCCAAGGCCCGGUCCAAGUACGCCGGUGUCGUCGAAAGUCCGAUUUCGGCCGCCGCCGCGUCGCCGUUGCGGUGAUUCGGUCUCCGCUUUUGUCAAGUGAGUUUUACUCACUAAUGCUUUAUUAGUUUGCUAAUUAUGCUUAAGGUUGGUUAGAUUUAAUUAAGUGCAAUUAGGUGGUUAGAUUAGGUUAGAACAAUUAAAUUAGUGACUUGAGGAUGCAUGUUAGGUGGUUAGACCUAGCUAUUAGCAAGUAGAAAUGUUUGGUUAUUUAUUGAAUGCAUCUCGGGAUUUUUCCCGACCCGUUUCGGGCUCCAAUAAGGCAAUAUAGGCCUAAAUUGGAUUUUUAAUGUUUAUUUAUUUAUUUCCGAAAUUUAUUUAUUUAAUUAAUUAUUUUUCCGGAAAUUCAACCGGGAUGGCCGGUGACCGGAAUUUCGUGCCGAUUGUCGUGGUGCAGACCGUUUAUUUAUUUGAGCUCUACGUUGUGUGGAAUUGAAUUUAUUGUGGAAUUUUAGGAAUUGUCCUAAAUUGUUUGUUAUUGAGUAUUUGAUUGGUAAUGGCUAAGCUUGGAUAUAUAGCGCCAGUACGUUGAUGGGCUAUAUAGUAGGGAGAAUGGUGAGACCAAUCAGGUACGAUAUUAUUGGACAUACGUGGUUCGGUGAUUGGAAGUAUCACUGGCGAAAACGGCGCCUUAAAGAACGCACGUAAAUGACUUAUAGACACACGUGGUUCGGUGAUUAUGGGAAUAUCACUGGUGAAAACGGCGCCUUAAAGAACGCACGAUGUUGUCUAUAGCCGAUGUCACCUUGGCGAAAACGGCGCCCUUGAGAAGACACGUGGUUCGGUGAUCAAGGUUAUCACUGGUGAAAACGGCGCCUUAAAGAACGCACGGUGUCGGUGAUCGGUAUGUCAUUGGCGAAAACGACGCCCGAGAAACACAUGUGAUUUGGUGAAUGAGUACACCACUGAGAAAGCGUGGUACGAGUGGGAAUGACCGAGAGAGGGUCUAAUUGACAUGUAAUCGACUUAGUCGAUUGGCCAAUGUUUGAUCGUAUGUCGUGAAUUGUUUGAAUAUCUGUGUUUAACCUUGAAUUGCAGGUUGGAAUUGAGGCUAAGGUAAGUCCUCUGACUCGUGUUGUGCUUAGGCAACCGGAUGGCGUAUUAGUUUAUUAAUCGAGUCUUAGUGGGUAGGACUCGCUGAGACGUGGUCUCAUUGGUUAUUGAAUAACCAUUUCAGGACCCUGAGGAAAAGCUGAGGAAGGAGAAGCUGAGGAAGGAGAAAGUAUUUUGAAGUAGAAGAUGAUCCAGAGAGGGAUCUUGAAUAUAAACCGGAUGUGGAUUGAGAUCCCAUCCCUUUUGUGCACCUUGUCUUAGUGUAGAUAGGUGUGAGACUUUUAUGCUGUAAAUAAUAUUGUAAAUAUACCAUGAGUGGUGAUGUUAAUGAAAGUGUGGUUGUGAAUUUCAAUAUGAAAAAUAUGGCCUACUUUCCUAUCCCAUUGUUUUAUUGUCUGGGGAUUUAUAACUGCUUCCGCAUGUGCUUAAUAAAAAGAAAGGGUCGGCGAUACAUAGUCCUGGGAUAUCGCAUUCUAAAAUCGACCAAGUAGAAGGAUGUGCACGCGUCCGAGGAUCGGGGCGUGACAUACCCUUUUUGUGGUAUCAGAGCGAAGGUUGAAGAUUGGAGUGAUAAGGAGCGUUGACCAUGGGAUAGUUAGUAGGAAAGGCCUUUAAAUUCAUGCUGGUGUAUGUCUGUGUUAGCUGAGUGCUAAAAUUGGUUGUGGUGUGUGGAUCGCUCACCUUCUAAUCCAGUGUGGAAUUGGAAGUCGGGUUGCAGUGUAAAGACUGAACCAUGAGCGAGCAGGAGCUAAGAACUCCUAGUAAGAGGACAAUGUCCUUUGUAACUCGGGAUGAUGCACUGACUAAGGUCAGUACCCGAGGUGGUUGUGGCAGAGUGUUGACUCUGGCCAGCUCGAGUGUAAGAGUACCACCGCAGGUUGGUACUAGUGUAGCAGCGUCGAAUGAUCCUAAGUUCGAUAGGAUUGUUCUGAUGCAAGUGUUCCUUGGGUUCUAAAUGAGCCAGUAAGAUCAAGAUCAAGUUAUUGUUGUUGCCACCUUUGCUGAGGUUCAACCUGGAAGGAUGAUCAGGGAAUAGAUUUUGAUAUUUGAGUCAAGAUUCAGUGCAGGCAGACGUGGAAUUUGGUUAGGGAAAAGACUGAUGUUGAGAGAAGAGUAUUCUAUUCCACUUAAUAGGAAGGGUGGAAUAGUCAGGUCAUCAUUCAGACAAAUGGACUUGUUGUUCCAUGGAAGAUGGUAUGGAUCAGUCUCGUUUAUUCUGAGGACGGGAAUUCGUGGUAAGUGUCGCCAGCAUGAAUGGCGAGUUAUGGGUUGUCCACAUAAGUAGAUGAAAGCUCGACAACGGUUACUGCUGUCACCGUCGAUAAGACAGGUCAGAAAAAGUGCUUCAUAGAAUGCACUAUGGAAUUUUGGGAUAGGUCUCUGAUGCAAGAAAUAGUGCACGCUAGCACUUGAUAGGAGAUAGAAGACACACCAGAUAAGUGUCAGAAUUGUAGAAGGAGGCAUGGAUAAAUCCAAUGUCCGAGUAUGAUUAGAACAUGUUGUGAUGAUGACUAGCAUGGCCAUCAGGUGAAGGAUUGUCAGUGGAAGUCCAAGGUAGCAUAGGCAUCGCUACUGCGGUAGAACGCCAUUAGGAUGGCGAAAGAAAUGGGAGUAGAAUUGAUCUUGCACCGAUUAGAGAAAGAAUUUAUUGGAGGUGAUUUUAUCAGAGUAACGUAGCAGAGUUUUGUGCUGAGUUCGUAGAACUUAAAUUGUUGAAGUAAGAGUGAAAGAGAAGGGAAUCACUAGCAAUAGUUGUGCUUGACUAGUUGCUGAGGUGUGAGUUCAACGCCACAUAAAUAGUGUGAGUACAUAAAGCAUCUUGCGAUAAGGAAUCAUGGUCAUGGAAUAAUCCAGUUUAGUCUAUUAGUUUGCAAAAAUAGCAAGAUUAUUAAGAGUCGAAAAGAAUCUUCGAUUUCAUUAAUCUCGUUGGCUAAAGACAAUCCGUUUGUUAGACGGAGGUUGCCAAGAUUGAUUGACAGCGGUAGUGGAUGUGUCAGUUAAGAAAUAGAAUGAGAAGAAGGUGGCUGUGAUACAGAAAAUUUAUAAGAUGGUUCCAAAGGAAUUGCUUGGGUUACCGCCAGAAAGGAAGAUUGAAAUUGCAAUUGAGAUAGCACCAGGAUAGAGCCGCUCUCGAAGGCUUCUUACCAGCUGUUGUUGUCUAAAGUGGUAGAAUUGAAGAUGCAGAUGUGAAGAUUGAUGAAUGAGGAAUUCGUGUAUAUCGGUGCAUCACUUUUGGGAAACAUCGGUUUUGUUAAUGAGAAGAAGAAAGAUGGUUUAUUGCGAGUGUGCAUCAACUAUCGUCAACUCAAUUAGGUGAAGAUCAAGGACAAGUGUUCUUUGCCAAAGAUCAAUGAAUGGUGUGACUAGUUAUAAGAGUAUCGAUGUUUUAAAGGUUGACUUGAGAUUAUGAAGUCGUUAGUUACGAACUAGGAAGGAGGUUGUACGAAAGACAGCUGUUCGUACUUGAUAUGGUCUUUACGAGAGUAUUGUAAGAUCGUUUGGCUUGGUGAACACUCCAGUUUCUGUCAUGGAUUUGACAAACAGAACGUUCAAUGAAUAAGUAGAUCAUCAGUUUGUGAUUGUGUUCGUUGAUGACAUCUUAGUCUAUUCGAGAAGUGAUGAAGAGCAUGAGAAUCAUCUGAGAUUAGUGCUUCAGACCUUAAGAACUCAUCACCUAUAUGCUAAGUUUAGCAAAUGCGAGUUUGGUUGACUUGUGUCGCGUUCUUAGGUCAUGUAAUUUCCGGAGAAGGAAUCUCCGUCGACCCGAGCAAGAUAGAAGCCGUGAUCAAUUGGCAGAGACCGACAUCAGUGACAGAAAUCAGAAGUUUUCUGGGAUUAGUAGGUUAUUACAGACGGUUUGUGGAAGGGUUCUCAUCGAUAGCAUCGCCUCUGAUAAAGCUCCCGAAGAAAAAUGAGAAGUUCAUAUGGUCAGACAAGUGCGAGCGUAGUUUCCAAGAGCUGAAGGAAAAGCUUACUACCGCACCUGUGCUGACGAUUCCAUAUGGUCCUGGAGGAUUCGAGAUCUAUAGUGAUGCGUCAUUCAGGGGAUUGGGUUGCGUGCUAAUGCAACAUGGCAGAGUUGUUGCAUACGCUUCCAGGCAGUUGAGACCUCAUGAAUUGAACUAUCUGACGCAUGACUUAGAGCUCGCCGCGAUUAUCUUUGCCCUGAAGAUUUGGAGACAUUACUUGUGCGGGGAAAAGUUUCAGAUCUUCACGGACCAUCAAAGUCUCAAGUAUUUAUUCUCUCAAAAGGAGUUGAACAUGAGACAUCGCAGAUGGAUGGAAUUGCUGAAAGACUACGACUGUGACAUUCUGUAUCACCCAGGAAAGGCGAGCAAGGUCGCCGAUGCUUUGAGUCGAAAGUCUUCAGUGGCUCAUAUACUGAUUAAGGAAUGGAACUUAAUCGAGAGAGCUCGAGGUUCGGUAUUCAAAUUUGAGGUAGGCCGCCUUUCAAGUUUUAUGGCCGCCCUCAGAAUUGAACCGGAUGUCCAAGUCAGAAUUAAACAACUCCAAUCGACAGACCCAGAUGUACAGAGAAUUCUUCAGGAAGACGCAGAGAAAAGAAAGGUUGAUUUUCAGAUUGCUGAUGGCGGGACACUAAGAUUCCAAGGACGUUUGGUUGUACCUGACGAUGUAGAGCUUAGAGAAGAAAUUUUAUCUUAAGCACAUCGUAGCAGUUACAGCAUUCAUCCUGGAAGCACUAAGAUGUAUUAGAAUUUGCGUCAACACUACUGGUGGUCAAGUAUGAAGGCUGACAUCGCCAAGCAUGUGACCAAGUGUUUGACUUGUCAGCAAGUAAAAGCCCAGCAUUGCAAGCCGGGAGGACUUUUGCAACCUCUCGUGAUCCCAGAGUGGAAAUGGGAACAUAUCACGAUGGACUUCGUGACUGGACUACCAAGGAGUCAGAGGGGGAAUGAUUCGAUAUGGGUAGUAGUCGAUAGGCUGACAAAGUCGGCUCACUUCAUUGUAGUUCGAAAGGACCUGAGUCUGGAUAGAUACGCAGACCUGUAUGUGCGUCAGGUGGUUCGAAUGCAUGGAGUGCCGGUUACGAUAACAUCUAAUAGAGACCCGAGAUUUACUGCUGCAUUUUGGAAGAGCUUGCAGAGUGCUCUUGGUAUAAAGCUUCAAUACAGUACGGCUUAUCAUCCUCAGACGGAUGGCCAGUCCGAGAGGACAAUACAAACCCUCGAGGACAUGUUGAGAGCGUGUGUUAUAGACUUCAAGGGAAGUUGGGAAGAUCAGCUUCAUCUGGUAGAAUUCGCCUACAAUAACAGUUAUCAGCAGAGUAUUCAGAUGGCCCCAUUUGAAGCGUUGUAUGGCAGAGCAUGCAGAACACCAGUAUGUUGGGAUGAAGUCGGGGAAAGAAAGAUAACAGGCCCAGAGUUGGUUCAGCAGUCAGUAGAUGCCGUGACAGUGAUCAGAGACAGAUUAAAGACAGCGCAGAGCAGGCAGAAAAGUUAUGCAGAUAAGCGUCGAAGGUCUUUGGAAUUCCAAGUUGGUGAUCACGUUUUUCUGAAGGUGUCACCAAUGAGGGGAACUUCGCGCUUUGGUAAGAAAGGCAAACUGAGUCCGAGGUACGUAGGUCCGUUUGAGAUUCUUGAGAGAAUCGGGACCUUAGCGUAUAGUCUUGCGUUGCCGCCAAGAUUGGCGCAAGUGCAUGACGUCUUUCACGUGUCGAUGUUGAGGAAGUACGAGCCUGACUCGACUCACGUGCUCAAUUUUGAAGAAUUGGACGUGGAUGACCGUGUGUCAUACGUUGAAAGACCGGUCCAGAUUGUCGAUCGCAAAGAGCAAGUUCUGCGUACAAAGACUAUUCCCUUAGUCAAAGUGGUCUGGCAACACCACGGUACAGAAGGAGCGACAUGGGAGACUGAGGAGUCAAUGAGAGAGUUGUACCCCCACCUUUUUGAUCAAGUCUUGUAAGGUUUAAAUUUCGAGGACGAAAUUUUUAUAAGAGGGGAAGAGUUGUGACAUCCAGAAUUUUCAGUAUUGUUUUCUAUUAAAUUAAUCGGGCAUUUCAUUGACGUGUUUAUAAGGUUGUUCUCAGAGCUGAUCACUCUCGAGAUAACUAGACUAGCUGGGUAAGCCAUUAAAGAAUAUUAAGGCAAUAGACUUGAGAAUUCGACCAGGAAGCGGCUUCUCGACCGUGUUCAUCUUUAGAGGUCAUUACUGCACAGUAAAGAUCGAAUUGAGAUCAGAGAUAGGUCGGUUCGACUGAGAUGUGUGGCCGAUCGUGGGUGACUCCACUAAAUUGGAAAAUUCUCGUCGACCGGCACUAAUUUGAUUUUCUGUCGUUUUGGUACCCUGUGUUAGUAGUCGAGCCCUCGAGAUUUUCACGACAAUUGAGAGUCGCCAAUGUGUCGAGUGGGUUCACUGUGGCUCGAAGAAAAUCGACCACGAGUCAAUUGCCCUAAAAAGUUCUGAAAACUACCCGGUAGUCUAGGUCACACUAAAAGCACGCCGGAGUGAAAUUAACCGUCGAUUUGAGUCAGAUUUCAGAAAUCGAAAGUUCAGUGAUGUCACAAGCUAUUUUAAGAACGUCGACUCAGUCUCAGAAGAUUUUCGGAGAUUCGGGAAAUUUUACGGAAAUUGGAUUCGGACGUCGUGGAAGUUUGGCCGAAGUUCAGAUUGGCUAAAUUAAUGGGAAAUUGGACUUUCAGAUUGAGCCGUUGUGUGUCAGGGAUUUAUAGAAAAUCAUUUGGGAUUUUUCUACGUCGAAAUUGGACCUCAAUUUGGGAGUUUAUUGGAGAAGUUGAAGUCAAAUGGUGAAAUUCGUAUCAUCCCCUUCCCCUAGCCCAAAAUUGACCAAUUGAGAAGUUGUGAGAGUUGUUGGUGUGGCCAAAUGAAGGCCAAGGUUUAAUACUUGGCCUAGAUUGAUUGUUGAAGAUAUUUCUUGUGGAAAAUUGACAAGGAUGGCCCACCCUCUCUCUUAUCUCCUUCCUCGCGCACGGCUCCUCUUCAUUUGUUUCUCUGCGGUCUCAGCUUCUGCUUCAUUUUCUUUCGGUCAAAGUCCAGCCCAGCAAAGCCUCCUCCGUGUUUGUGUCUUCAUCAACCCACGAUCUGGGUCAAUUUCCCCACCGUGUGAAGUCCUUGGUUGACCUCUUGAAGCCUCGAUCCCACCGAGCUGGUCGGCCACUCACGCCAGCGAAGACCCCUGCAGCAGCUCCACCGAAAUUCUUUUUCUUCCGCUUCGUUGAAGAUUGAUCGUCCACGAAGCUGCUCCAAGCAUCCACGCGGCCAGCGCACGCCAGUCAACUCCAAGCCUUCUUCUCUUCAAUUUGUUGACCAAGCUGCCGCCAAGUUGAGCCAGCGAAGCGACGCUGAACGAAGCAACUCGCAGCCAGCUCGCCACCUCAACUGGUCUUCAUUCAGCGAGACCCACCGAGCGUCCUUCACUCUGCCAGCACACCAGUCAACACGGCAGAACGUUGUUGACUCCCCGGAGCCCACAACCCACCGAGAACUCAGCAUCCACGAAGCCACGCCCACGCCCUCAGCUCUCUGCCACUCGCCCGCUCAGCCACUCGUCCACGUAAAUUAAGCAGCGAUUAAAGCUGCUUCCCAUCCCCACGGACGUUCAUCGCCAGCUUGCACGAAGCCAGUCGCAAGCUCAGCCUUCAGCCCAGCAAAAUUCGGUCCAAUUGAGGGCCAUUUCAAGCCCAGCGAAGCCAGCAAUCUCGGCCCAAAUUUUCAGUCUUCAAGCCCAGCGAAUUUUUGUCUAGCUGGGCCCAAUCACCCAGCAGCUAAGCCACUUGAAGCCCGGCCCAGUUCAGUUUGUUUCAAGUCCAUCUUCAGCCCAAGUCCAGCCCGCGAAGAGGCCCAAUCGCAGCAAGCCCAAGCCCAAGAGCGAGCCCAGUGCAGUGCAAGAACAAAUCUCAGUUGGGCUGAGAUUUGUUGGGCCAAGCCUAAGGCCCGGUCCAAGUUCGCCGGUGUCGUCGAAAGUCCUAUUUCGGCCGCCGUCGCGUCGCCGUUGCGGUGAUUCGGUCUCCGCUUUUGCCAAGUGAGUUUUACUCACUAAUGCUUUAUUAGUUGGCUAAUUAUGCUUAAGGUUGGUUAGAUUUAAUUAAGUGCAAUUAGGUGGUUAGAUUAGGUUAGAACAAUUAGUUUAGUGACUUAAUGAUGCAUGUUAGGUGGUUAGACCUAGCUAUUAGCAAGUAGAAAUGUUUGGUUAUUUAUUGAAUGCAUCUCGGGAUUUUUCCCGACCCGUUUCGGGCUCCAAUCAGGCAAUAUGGGCCUAAAUUGGAUUUUUAAUGUUUAUUUAUUUAUUUUCGAAAUUUAUUUAUUUAAUUAAUUAUUUUUCCGGAAAUUCAACCGGGAUGGCCGGUGACCGGAAUUUCGUGCCGAUUGUCGUGGUGCAGACCGUUUAUUUAUUUGAGCUCUACGUUGUGUGGAAUUGAAUUUAUUGUGGAAUUUUAAGAAUUGCCCUAAAUUGUUUGUUAUUGAAUAUUUGAUUGGUUGUUGGCCGAAUAUGGGUAUAUAGCGCCAGUACGUUGAUGGGCUAUAUAGUAGGGAGAAUGGUGAGACCAAUCAGGUACGAUAUUAUUGGACAUACGUGGUUCGGUGAUUGGAAGUAUCACUGGCGAAAACGGCGCCUUAAAGAACGCACGUAAAUGACUUAUAGACACACGUGGUUCGGUGGUUAUGGGAAUAUCACUGGUGAAAACGGCGCCUUAAAGAACGCACGAUGUUGUCUAUAGCCGAUGUCACCUUGGCGAAAACGGCGCCCUUGAAAGGACACGUGGUUCGGUGAUCAAGGUUAUCACUGGUGAAAACGGCGCCUUAAAGAACGCACGGUGUCGGUGAUCGGUAUGUCAUUGGCGAAAACGACGCCCGAGAAACACAUGUGAUUUGGUGAAUGAGUACACCACUGAGAAAGCGUGGUAUGAGUGGGAAUGACCUAGAAAGGGUCUGACUGACAUGUAAUCGACUUAGUUGAUUGAUCAAUGCUUGAUCGGAUGUCGUGAAUUGUUUGAAUACUUGUGUUUAACCUUGAAUUGCAGGUUGGAACUGAGGCCAAGGUAAGUCCUCUGACUCGUGUUGUGCUUAGGCAACCGGAUGGCGUAUUAGUUUAUUAAUCGAGUCUUAGUGGGUAGGACUCGCUGAGACGUGGUCUCAUUGGUUAUUGAAUAACCAUUUCAGGACCCUGAGGAAAAGCUGAGGAGGGAGAACCUGAAGGGGAGAAAGACUUAAGAAGAAGAAGAAGAUCCAGAGAGGGAUCUUGAUUAUAACCCAGAUGUGGAUUGGGAUCCCAUCCUUUUUGUGAACCCUGUUUUAGUGUAGAUAGGUGUGAGACUUUUAUGCUGUAAAUAGUAUUGUAAAUAUACUAUGAGUGGUGAUGUUAGAGAAAGUGUGGUUGUGAAUUUCAAUAUGAAAAAUAUGGCCUGCUUUCCUAUCCCAUUGUUUUAUUGUCUGGGGAUUUAUAACUGCUUCCGC
Molecule: long non-coding RNA, 10385 nt
Filed under: Eucalyptus grandis
Lineage: Eukaryota; Viridiplantae; Streptophyta; Magnoliopsida; Myrtales; Myrtaceae
Description: long non-coding RNA (EGRA_LNC000712)
Source: RNAcentral